Molecule: small RNA, 1032 nt
Filed under: Pongo abelii (Sumatran orangutan)
Lineage: Eukaryota; Metazoa; Chordata; Mammalia; Primates; Hominidae
Description: processed transcript
Source: RNAcentral
UUACUCUGAAAGAAACAUGGCAACAGUACAAUAUUGCCGAUGUUUUGGUAGUGAUAAAAGAGGUGAUGGGUGAUAUAGAAUCAGCCACUCUUAAGCUUGAUGGAAACUGUGGGAGGAUGUGUGAAUGAUGCAUAUUUCUCUAGAGCUAAUGAAGAAGUUAAAAAAUCUAAGUGUCUGCAAAACAGGAAGAAGUCUUUGCAGAGGAAAUUGAAUACUGUCUGAUGCUACAAUUCAUAUGGACCCUUUCCUGGAUUGAAGCUUGACUUUUUUAAAAAAGGUUUCAAUAAAUUGCUUAUACCUAUGAAGAGAUGCAAAAGAACCUUCAAAAUAAAGCAAAGGACUUGAAGAAAGAGAAGGAAGACAUGAAGAAGAGGAUGUCAUUUAGGUGAAGGGCCAUGCUGGAUAAGGAACUGGCUGCCUCUGUGAACAUCCUACUCAAGGCAUCUUCACUGCACUCAGAGUACAGAAUGUUUAGGCAUACAUUUGAAGCAACAUGUGAAUGUAUACAUAUGCUGUGAUUUAUUAAGCAUGUUAUGGGAACUUUAAAAUAUCUCAUUCAGCAGAAAGGAGGCAGAGGAUUAUAAUCUCAUUUGACAGAUGGGACACUGAGGCCCAAGUCCUCAUGUUUCUUCAGUCUAGAAAGUGAAGAGAACUUGCACUGUGUGACAAAGGCCAGGCGAAAGAAACAGGAGAGGAGGAUAGAUUCCUGUAGACCUUGAUUGUCAGGGAAGAUCCCUUGGGAAAGGCUGUACAUCCUUUUGAAAUCCCAGAGGUCUUCAGUCUCCCUGUGGAUUAAGGAGAUGUGCAGUAUUUAAAGUAGCUUCAGGAAGGCAUGGAAGAGGACUGAGUGCGGAAAGCUUUUUGUGCAUGCUGCUGGCCACCUCCAGCGGCUGCCUCCAGCCUCCAUCAGCUGCACUCUGGGGAAGAGGAGGCUGCCUUCUACCUCUCAGCAUCUCUGGAUUUCAUGUUCCUGUCAGCACAGAGGAGCUAAAUGGCCUUUAGAGGCUGAAGGUCUGAGGCUCCUAAAGCUGG